AGUGAACGCUGGCGGUAUGCCUAACACAUGCAAGUCGAACGGCAGCACAGUAAGAGCUUGCUCUUACGGGUGGCGAGUGGCGGACGGGUGAGGAAUACAUCGGAAUCUACUUUUUCGUGGGGGAUUACGUAGGGAAACUUACGCUAAUACCGCAUACGACCUACGGGUGAAAGCAGUGGAUCUUCGGACCUUGCGCGAUUGAAUUAGCCGAUGUCGGAUUAGCUAGUUGGCUUGGUAAAGGCCCACCAAGGCGACGAUCCGUAGCUGGUCUGAGAGGAUGAUCAGCCACACUGGAACUGAGACACGGUCCAGACUCCUACGGGAGGCAGCAGUGGGGAAUAUUGGACAAUGGGCGCAAGCCUGAUCCAGCCAUACCGCGUGGGUGAAGAAGGCCUUCGGGUUGUAAAGCCCUUUUGUUGGGAAAGAAAAGAAGCAGGUUAAUACACCGAUGUUCUGACGGUACCCAAAGAAUAAGCAACGGCUAACUUCGUG
RNAcentral lists this ribosomal RNA (492 nucleotides) under uncultured bacterium. RNAcentral describes it as "partial 16S ribosomal RNA". It matches the Rfam family "Bacterial small subunit ribosomal RNA", at positions 29 to 507 of the family's 1533-position model. The record is from RNAcentral.